AUUCCAGCUCCAAUAGCAUAUAUUAAAGUUGUUGCAGUUAAAAAGCUUGUAGUUGGAUUUCUGGCAUGAUGCGCCUGGUCCGCCUCGAUUACGAGUGUGUGUACGAGCGCGCGUCUGCCAUCCAUUUGCAGAAUGUAUCUACCCUUCAUUGGGCCGGAUAUGUGAUGUAAAUCUUUUACUUUGAAAAAAUUAGAGUGUUUAAAGCAGGCAUUUGCUAUGAAUACAUUAGCAUGGAAUAAUAAUCUAGGACUUCGGUUCUAUUUUGUUGGUUUCUAGAUCUGAAGUAAUGAUUGAUAGGGAUAGUUGGGGGUGCUAGUAUUAAGGGGCCAGAGGUGAAAUUCUUGGAUACUCUUAAGACUAACUUAUGCGAAAGCAUUCACCAAGGAUGUCUUCAUCA
Molecule: ribosomal RNA, 397 nt
Filed under: Mataza sp.
Lineage: Eukaryota; Cercozoa; Thecofilosea
Description: partial small subunit ribosomal RNA
Rfam family: Eukaryotic small subunit ribosomal RNA
Source: RNAcentral